Molecule: ribosomal RNA, 631 nt
Filed under: uncultured bacterium
Lineage: Bacteria
Description: bacterial SSU rRNA
Rfam family: Bacterial small subunit ribosomal RNA
Source: RNAcentral
CUAAUACCGCGUAAGACCACAGCUUCACAUGGAGCAGAGGUCAAAGGAGCAAUCCGGAUAAAGAUGGGCUCGCGUCCGAUUAGCUAGUUGGUGAGAUAACAGCCCACCAAGGCGACGAUCGGUAGCCGACCUGAGAGGGUGAUCGGCCACAUUGGAACUGAGAAACGGUCCAGACUCCUACGGGAGGCAGCAGUGGGGAAUAUUGGGCAAUGGGCGAAAGCCUGACCCAGCAACGCCGCGUGAGGGAAGAAGGGUUUCGGCUCGUAAACCUCUGUCCUAUGGGACGAAGGAAGUGACGGUACCAUAGGAGGAAGCCCCGGCUAACUACGUGCCAGCAGCCGCGGUAAUACGUAGGGGGCGAGCGUUGUCCGGAAUGAUUGGGCGUAAAGGGCGCGUAGGCGGCCUGCUAAGUCUGGAGUGAAAGUCCUGCUUUCAAGGUGGGAAUUGCUUUGGAUACUGGUGGGCUGGAGUGCAGGAGAGGAAAGCGGAAUUACCGGUGUAGCGGUGAAAUGCGUAGAGAUCGGUAGGAACACCAGUGGCGAAGGCGGCUUUCUGGACUGAAACUGACGCUGAGGCGCGAAAGCGUGGGGAGCAAACAGGAUUAGAUACCCUGGUAGUCCACGCGGUAAAC